GACGAACGCUGGCGGCGUGCUUAACACAUGCAAGUCGAGCGGAAAGGCCACUUCGGUGGUACUCGAGCGGCGAACGGGUGAGUAACACGUGAGUAAUCUGCCCCUCACUUUGGGAUAGCCACCGGAAACGGUGAUUAAUACCGGAUAUGACCAUAUGUCGCAUGGCGUGUGGUGGAAAGUUUUUCGGUGAGGGAUGUGUUCGCGGCCUAUCAGCUUGAUGGUGUGGUAAUGGCUCACCAUGGCUUCGACGGGUAGCCGGCCUGAGAGGGUGACCGGUCACACUGGGACUGAGACACGGCCCAGACUCCUACGGGAGGCAGCAGUGGGGAAUAUUGGACAAUGGGCGGAAGCCUGAUCCAGCAACGCCGCGUGAGGGAUGACGGCCUUCGGGUUGUAAACCUCUUGCAGUACCGACGAAGCGCAAGUGACGGUAGGUACAGAAGAAGCACCGGCCAACUACGUG
RNAcentral lists this ribosomal RNA (463 nucleotides) under uncultured bacterium. RNAcentral's name for it is "partial 16S ribosomal RNA". It matches the Rfam family "Bacterial small subunit ribosomal RNA", at positions 28 to 507 of the family's 1533-position model. The record is from RNAcentral.